UCUUUUGUAGCUUAGUGGUAAAGCAUUUAGCUGUUAACUAAAAAAUCACAGGUUCAAAUCCUGUCAAAAGAG
The sequence is a transfer RNA, 72 nucleotides long. It matches the Rfam family "tRNA". Rfam says of the family: Transfer RNA (tRNA) molecules are approximately 80 nucleotides in length. Their secondary structure includes four short double-helical elements and three loops (D, anti-codon, and T loops).